UACGUAGGUGGCAAGCGUUAUCCGGAUUUAUUGGGCGUAAAGAGGACGCGGGCGGUCUUUUAAGUCUGAUGUGAAAGCCUUCGGCUUAACCGGAGUAGUGCAUUGGAAACUGGGAGACUUGAGUGCAGAAGAGGAGAGUGGAACUCCAUGUGUAGCGGUGAAAUGCGUAGAUAUAUGGAAGAACACCAGUGGCGAAAGCGGCUCUCUGGUCUGUAACUGACGCUGAGGUUCGAAAGCGUGGGUAGCAAACAGG
This 253-nucleotide ribosomal RNA is filed under the name uncultured bacterium. Its description in RNAcentral is "partial 16S ribosomal RNA". It matches the Rfam family "Bacterial small subunit ribosomal RNA", at positions 524 to 776 of the family's 1533-position model. The record is from RNAcentral.